CAGUCAUAUCAUGUUGAAACCCCAGUUCUCUUACAAUCACUGAAGUUAAGCAAUGUUGAGCCUGGUCAGUACCUAGAUGAGUGACUGUUUGGAAAUACCAGGUGCUGUAAG
RNAcentral lists this ribosomal RNA (111 nucleotides) under Acanthosepion pharaonis. Lineage: Eukaryota; Metazoa; Mollusca; Cephalopoda; Sepiida; Sepiidae. The record is from RNAcentral.